RNAcentral lists this non-coding RNA (1087 nucleotides) under Dothideomycetes sp. genotype 46. Its description in RNAcentral is "eukaryotic LSU rRNA". The stretch from base 493 to 1087 matches the Rfam family "Eukaryotic large subunit ribosomal RNA", at positions 1 to 599 of the family's 3401-position model. RNAcentral also lists the same sequence under 1 other name. The record is from RNAcentral. Lineage: Eukaryota; Fungi; Ascomycota; Dothideomycetes.
GGAUCAUUACACAAAUAUGAAGGCGGGCUGGAACCUCUCGGGGUUACAGCCUUGCUGAAUUAUUCACCCUUGUCUUUUGCGUACUUCUUGUUUCCUUGGUGGGUUCGCCCACCACUAGGACAAACAUAAACCUUUUGUAAUUGCAAUCAGCGUCAGUAACAAAUUAAUAAUUACAACUUUCAACAACGGAUCUCUUGGUUCUGGCAUCGAUGAAGAACGCAGCGAAAUGCGAUAAGUAGUGUGAAUUGCAGAAUUCAGUGAAUCAUCGAAUCUUUGAACGCACAUUGCGCCCUUUGGUAUUCCAAAGGGCAUGCCUGUUCGAGCGUCAUUUGUACCCUCAAGCUUUGCUUGGUGUUGGGCGUCUUGUCUCUAGCUUUGCUGGAGACUCGCCUUAAAGUAAUUGGCAGCCGGCCUACUGGUUUCGGAGCGCAGCACAAGUCGCACUCUCUAUCAGCAAAGGUCUAGCAUCCAUUAAGCCUUUUUUUCAACUUUUGACCUCGGAUCAGGUAGGGAUACCCGCUGAACUUAAGCAUAUCAAUAAGCGGAGGAAAAGAAACCAACAGGGAUUGCCCUAGUAACGGCGAGUGAAGCGGCAACAGCUCAAAUUUGAAAUCUGGCUCUUUUAGAGUCCGAGUUGUAAUUUGCAGAGGGCGCUUUGGCUUUGGCAGCGGUCCAAGUUCCUUGGAACAGGACGUCACAGAGGGUGAGAAUCCCGUACGUGGUCGCUGGCUAUUGCCGUGUAAAGCCCCUUCGACGAGUCGAGUUGUUUGGGAAUGCAGCUCUAAAUGGGAGGUACAUUUCUUCUAAAGCUAAAUAUUGGCCAGAGACCGAUAGCGCACAAGUAGAGUGAUCGAAAGAUGAAAAGCACUUUGGAAAGAGAGUCAAACAGCACGUGAAAUUGUUGAAAGGGAAGCGCUUGCAGCCAGACUUGCUUACAGUUGCUCAUCCGGGUUUCUACCCGGUGCACUCUUCUGUAGGCAGGCCAGCAUCAGUUUGGGCGGUAGGAUAAAGGUCUCUGUCACGUACCUCCUUUCGGGGAGGCCUUAUAGGGGAGACGACAUACUACCAGCCUGGACUGAGGUCCGCG